AGUAUCUGGGAUGAUAUUUUGGCUCCCUCUGCUGAGACUUGUGAGGAGAUCUGCCAUCGUUACCCAAUAAUAUCUGAGAUCU
Small nucleolar RNA from Scleropages formosus (Asian bonytongue), 82 nucleotides. Ensembl annotates it as small nucleolar RNA SNORD100. The record is from Ensembl. NCBI's taxonomy places the organism in Eukaryota, Metazoa, Chordata, Actinopteri, Osteoglossiformes, Osteoglossidae.